Long non-coding RNA from Lycium ferocissimum, 366 nucleotides. RefSeq lists it as uncharacterized. Lineage: Eukaryota; Viridiplantae; Streptophyta; Magnoliopsida; Solanales; Solanaceae. The record is from RefSeq and is a predicted model, not a curated record. The transcript is spliced from 2 exons.
UUGAAAAGCUAGAAAGGUGGUCCAAUUUGCUUAUGACAUCUCUGAUCAAGUACUUUAUCUUUGAAAUGUUUAAAGUUCCUGUAUUAUAAUUAUAAAAAAGCAUUCUCCCUUCCAUAAAGUGAUUUUAUUCCAUCUUAUUUCUAGUUGGAACUGAAACCUGAAAAGUCCUCCCAUGGGUACUCAGGUGAAGACCCUGGAAAAUAUCUGCCAAAAUCCACAACUGUUGUCACACCCCUCUUUAAUGCAUGAUUGCUAGCUCUUAAUAGUGCUUCCCUCCUUUCAUCAACUGAGGCUUCUGGGAUGUGGGAGAGGACAAGCUUCAUAGCAGAAUCAAUCAACAGACCAGUAGGUUCUGCAGUAAAAGAC